GAGUUUGAUCAUGGCUCAGGAUGAACGCUAGCGGCGCGCCUAAUGCAUGCAAGUCGAGCGAUGAGGCACCUUUGGGUGUACAUCAGCGGCAGACGGGUGAGUAACACGUAGGUGACCUACCCGAAGACGGGGAUAACAGGUGGAAACAUCUGCUAAUACCCGAUGGGCUCUGAGCGGAAGCGAGGAGUAAAGGCUACGGUGCUUCGGGAGGGGCCUGCGGCCUAUCAGCUAGUUGGUAGGGUAACGGCCUACCAAGGCGAAGACGGGUAGGGGUGU
RNAcentral lists this ribosomal RNA (276 nucleotides) under uncultured microorganism. RNAcentral's name for it is "partial 16S ribosomal RNA". It matches the Rfam family "Bacterial small subunit ribosomal RNA", at positions 9 to 292 of the family's 1533-position model. The record is from RNAcentral.